CAACACCCAGCAGAUUGCACUCGUAGACCAAGUGCCUCACCAGUUACAACCUCACUUAAAAGAUCUUUAAAGAUCAAGCGCUCAACAUCCAGAACUAACCAUGGGAGUUCACUACUAUAAGUCGUCCAAUGCGUUGAUUGAUGCUUCAAAUCUGCCUGUAAGAUGUUUCCCACACAGUCAUUCUCAUCUUGUAAGCUGCAGUGUGAGGCAUUACCUUGCAGUCUGUCUACCUCGGAGCACAAUUCCCCCAAAAGCUUUUGUCCUCUUGGUCUUCUGUCCGCCAGCAUAUUUGGUGAGUGCCAAUACUUCGAACAACUUUCCAGACGUAAUUUGUGAGCUAGGAUUUCAUUCACAACAUCAAAUACAAGUUUUCUUU
This 376-nucleotide unclassified non-coding RNA is filed under the name Hevea brasiliensis (rubber tree). Lineage: Eukaryota; Viridiplantae; Streptophyta; Magnoliopsida; Malpighiales; Euphorbiaceae. The record is from RNAcentral.